GACGAACGCUGGCGGCGCGCCUAACACAUGCAAGUCGAACGGAGCUGAGAGGAGCUUGCUUUUCUUAGCUUAGUGGCGAACGGGUGGGUAACGCGUGAGUAACCUGCCCUGGAGUGGGGGACAACAGUUGGAAACGACUGCUAAUACCGCAUAAGCCCACGGCCCGGCAUCGGGCUGAGGGAACAGGAUUUAUUCGCUUCAGGAUGGACUCGCGUCCAAUUAGCUAGUUGGUGAGGUAACGGCCCACCAAGGCGACGAUUGGUAGCCGGACUGAGAGGUUGAACGGCCACAUUGGGACUGAGACACGGCCCAGACUCCUACGGGAGGCAGCAGUGGGGGAUAUUGCACAAUGGGGGAAACCCUGAUGCAGCGACGCCGCGUGGAGGAAGAAGGUUUUCGGAUUGUAAACUCCUGUCGUUAGGGACGAUAAUGACGGUACCUAACAAGAAAGCACCGGCUAACUACGUGCCAGCCGCCGCCUAA
RNAcentral lists this ribosomal RNA (483 nucleotides) under uncultured bacterium. RNAcentral describes it as "partial 16S ribosomal RNA". It matches the Rfam family "Bacterial small subunit ribosomal RNA", at positions 28 to 522 of the family's 1533-position model. The record is from RNAcentral.